AGCUAUACGGCACACCAGUGUAUUAUCAGCUCAUCUUUAGCUAAUGUUCCAAAUCAAUGCCAUCACCGUUGUUUCUUAAAUGUUGAAAAUACUCAUUAGUGAUUUGCUUAAAUAAAACUCAUUCAGGUAUUCAAGAUGUUUACUUUCAGAGACGUAAAAUAUAUCUGAUAAGGUUUCUUUCCUGAAAAACUACUUUUAUUCAGAUUCUUCAGAUGCAUAAUGAUACUAUAGUUUUGGAUCAAUUAGAAUAAUAAUGAUAAUUUGCCAGAACUAGGGGUCGUUUAUCUUUUGUUUCCCUGUACUUGAACGAACGUUAUCUUCAUCUUAACAUUAGCAUGGUAUCCUGAAAGAAAUAUGGGAGCUAAUGCC
Molecule: long non-coding RNA, 369 nt
Filed under: Setaria italica (foxtail millet)
Lineage: Eukaryota; Viridiplantae; Streptophyta; Magnoliopsida; Poales; Poaceae
Description: long non-coding RNA (SITA_LNC003586)
Source: RNAcentral